Molecule: ribosomal RNA, 465 nt
Filed under: uncultured bacterium
Lineage: Bacteria
Description: partial 16S ribosomal RNA
Rfam family: Bacterial small subunit ribosomal RNA
Source: RNAcentral
GAUGAACGCUGGCGGCGUGCUUAACACAUGCAAGUCGAACGGAAAGGCUCCUGCUUGCAGGGGUACUCGAGUGGCGAACGGGUGAGUAACACGUGGGUGAUCUGCCCUGCACUUCGGGAUAAGCCUGGGAAACUGGGUCUAAUACCGGAUAGGACGAUGGUUUGGAUGCCAUUGUGGAAAGUUUUUCGGUGUGGGAUGAGCUCGCGGCCUAUCAGCUUGUUGGUGGGGUAAUGGCCUACCAAGGCGUCGACGGGUAGCCGGCCUGAGAGGGUGUACGGCCACAAUUGGACUGAGAUACGGCCCAGACUCCUACGGGAGGCAGCAGUGGGGAAUAUUGCACAAUGGGCGCAAGCCUGAUGCAGCGACGCCGCGUGGGGGAUGACGGCCUUCGGGUUGUAAACUCCUUUCGCUAGGGACGAAGCGCAAGUGACGGUACCUGGAGAAGAAGCACCGGCUAACUACGUG